Molecule: ribosomal RNA, 794 nt
Filed under: Aerococcus sp. I24-CRBM-T3P21
Lineage: Bacteria; Bacillati; Bacillota; Bacilli; Lactobacillales; Aerococcaceae
Description: bacterial SSU rRNA
Rfam family: Bacterial small subunit ribosomal RNA
Source: RNAcentral
UGCAGUCGAGCGAACAGAUGAAGUGCUUGCACUUCUGACGUUAGCGGCGAACGGGUGAGUAACACGUAAGGAAUCUACCUAUAAGCGGGGGAUAACAUUCGGAAACGGGUGCUAAUACCGCAUAAUAUCUUCUUCCGCAUGGAAGAAGAUUGAAAGACGGCUCUGCUGUCACUUAUAGAUGACCUUGCGGUGCAUUAGUUAGUUGGUGGGGUAACGGCCUACCAAGACGAUGAUGCAUAGCCGACCUGAGAGGGUGAUCGGCCACAUUGGGACUGAGACACGGCCCAAACUCCUACGGGAGGCAGCAGUAGGGAAUCUUCCGCAAUGGGCGAAAGCCUGACGGAGCAAUGCCGCGUGAGUGAAGAAGGCCUUCGGGUCGUAAAACUCUGUUAUAAGAGAAGAACAAAUUGUAGAGUAACUGCUACAGUCUUGACGGUAUCUUAUCAGAAAGCCACGGCUAACUACGUGCCAGCAGCCGCGGUAAUACGUAGGUGGCAAGCGUUGUCCGGAUUUAUUGGGCGUAAAGGGAGCGCAGGUGGUUUCUUAAGUCUGAUGUGAAAGCCCACGGCUUAACCGUGGAGGGUCAUUGGAAACUGGGAAACUUGAGUACAGAAGAGGAAUGUGGAACUCCAUGUGUAGCGGUGGAAUGCGUAGAUAUAUGGAAGAACACCAGUGGCGAAGGCGACAUUCUGGUCUGUUACUGACACUGAGGCUCGAAAGCGUGGGGAGCAAACAGGAUUAGAUACCCUGGUAGUCCACGCCGUAAACGAUGAGUGCUAGGUGUUGGAGGGUUU